RNAcentral lists this ribosomal RNA (524 nucleotides) under uncultured microorganism. RNAcentral describes it as "bacterial SSU rRNA". It matches the Rfam family "Bacterial small subunit ribosomal RNA", at positions 9 to 524 of the family's 1533-position model. The record is from RNAcentral.
GAGUUUGAUCGUGGCUCAGGAUGAACGCUAGCGGCAGGCUUAACACAUGCAAGUCGAGGGGCAUCGGGAGGGAAGCUUGCUUUCCUUGCCGGCGACCGGCGCACGGGUGAGUAACACGUAUGCAACCUGCCCUCUUCAGGGGGACAACCUUCCGAAAGGGAGGCUAAUCCCGCGUAUAUCGGUUUCGGGCAUCCGUUAUCGAGGAAAGAUUCAUCGGAAGAGGAUGGGCAUGCGGCGCAUUAGCUUGACGGCGGGGUAACGGCCCACCGUGGCGACGAUGCGUAGGGGUUCUGAGAGGAAGGUCCCCCACACUGGUACUGAGACACGGACCAGACUCCUACGGGAGGCAGCAGUGAGGAAUAUUGGUCAAUGGGAGAGAUCCUGAACCAGCCAAGCCGCGUGAGGGAAGACGGCCCUAUGGUUGUAAACCUCUUUUGUCGGAGAACAAAACCCGGGACGUGUCCCGGACUGCGUGUAUCCGAAGAAAAAGCAUCGGCUAACUCCGUGCCAGCCGCCGCGGUAAG